This is a long non-coding RNA of Cyprinus carpio (common carp), 752 nucleotides long. Lineage: Eukaryota; Metazoa; Chordata; Actinopteri; Cypriniformes; Cyprinidae. The record is from Ensembl.
ACAGGUCCAUCAUGCACUGCGCAGUCGGAUCUACUGAUUGAUUGGUGACAUCCAUCAGCGGAUCCCGUGUGUCUCCAGCAUUUUAUGAAUGUGGGAUCUCUAGCUGGAGAGACGAAAUGGCUUCAAGUGGGAGGCCGUUGGCGGACCUGUUGCGCGAUGUGGCUGACCAGCUCGAAAGAACAUCGGGUGGUUCAUCAAAUUCAUCACCUCAGCCGCCAGAUAGGCCUAAUGUUAACGUUACACCCACCGUUACACCCAGACACCCAGUGGACGGUAUUCAGACAAAUCCAGAGGAGUUCAGAGAAUUCCUUUUAGCGGCAUAUCCUAAGCUCAGACAGGGGGGAGGAUUUGAACUGCUAAAAAUAUCUGGAACAACUCGGAGUCGUGAACUGGUCCUCAUCCCCUGUCCCAGUGAUGGCUACCAUGUCCGAUAUCUAAAGGAACCACAAACUCAGAUUGGUCAUGCAACAAUUUUUAUCCGACCACUUCAGAGGAAUCUGAAUCUGGAUCCUAUAUGUGGACCAGAAUGCAGCAGUGAGCUGGUUGGGCCAGUCCAGAAAUGUGUGACUUGUGGAGAAGAAUUCUCUUUUUCAAGUAUUAAGGCUCAUAGUGAUGAAUGCAUGAGGUACGUAUCAGUUUAUGCAUAUUGCAUGUGUAGACAGACAUCAGACAAGGGGCACGUGGUCCACCAUCAGCCAACAGUUGAAGAGCAUCAUGUGUGUUUGUGUGUGGAUGUUGAAUCAACCUUGUAG